This is a long non-coding RNA of Oryza sativa Japonica Group (Japanese rice), 842 nucleotides long. RefSeq lists it as uncharacterized. NCBI's taxonomy places the organism in Eukaryota, Viridiplantae, Streptophyta, Magnoliopsida, Poales, Poaceae. The record is from RefSeq and is a predicted model, not a curated record.
CGCCCUCCUGUUCUGGAACCACACCUCCACCUGCUACGGCUUCAGAUUCAACUGCCUCGCCAGCGCCGCCUUCUGCUUCUGAAUCCAACAAGAAGAAGAUCGCAUAUAUCAAUCAGAUUGUUCUUGAUCGAUUUCUUGGUGUCCUCGAGGACGGCGGCUUGGUCCUUCGAGAGGCGGAGCUUCUUGCGGGAUCCGCCGCCGGAGUCCUCGCUGCCACCGCCGCCGGAGCAGAUGGCGCGCCGCGCUUGCCGCUGAGGCUGGAGAGCGUGCUGUUGGGGGAGGCUGGAGGACGCGGCGGGCGAAAGCCGGAUGGUCCAGCCCACCGCGGCCGCCGCUCAAGCGCUGCUGCAAGACGCUCACUGACGAGAAGCUGAAGUGGGGGCCGCCGCUCCCGCCGCCGCCGCAGCCGCUCCAGCUCGUGCUCCCCGCGGCCGGCUAAAGGGGAGGAGAAGAGAAAGAGAAAGAGAAAGAAAGAGACAAGGGAGGAAGAGGGGGAGGAAGAAGAAAGAGAGAGGAUGACAUGUGGGGCCCACAUCAAUUUUUAUGUGUGUGAAUGAUAACUGGGUCCCACGUAUAUAUUUUUAAUUCAAAUGCUACCUCAGCGGCACGUCAACCUCAUGAACUAGGUCAACACUGCCACGUCAGCAAAAUCGUCCUCCAAAACCACAAAAGAAGUUAAAUUGCACUGUUUUCAAUAAUUCGGGGGUCGAAAUAUCAGGUUUUGUGGUUUAUGAUCAUGUAUUAGAUUCGGGUCAAUUUUUAAAGGAGUCAAUGUGGACUUAUUCCCCACAUUGAUUGAUCUGGAGCGCGCCCAACUUUUAGAUCCUUCUCUGAUAGUUUUU